Molecule: unclassified non-coding RNA, 212 nt
Filed under: soil metagenome
Description: partial contains 5.8S ribosomal RNA, internal transcribed spacer 2, and large subunit ribosomal RNA
Source: RNAcentral
AACCUAGCACACCUGCGGUGUGUACCUGCGGAAGGAUCAUUACCGAGUUAUACAACUCAUCAACCCUGUGAACAUACCUAAAACGUUGCCUCGGCGGGAACAGACGGCCCCGUAACACGGGCCGCCCCCGCCAGAGGACCCCCUAACUCUGUUCCUAUAAUGUUUUUUCUGAGUAAACAAGCAAAUAAAUCAAAACUUUCAGCAAUGGAUCU